Molecule: ribosomal RNA, 451 nt
Filed under: uncultured bacterium
Lineage: Bacteria
Description: bacterial SSU rRNA
Rfam family: Bacterial small subunit ribosomal RNA
Source: RNAcentral
UACGGGAGGCAGCAGUGGGGAAUAUUGCACAAUGGGCGCAAGCCUGAUGCAGCCAUGCCGCGUGUAUGAAGAAGGCCUUCGGGUUGUAAAGUACUUUCAGUCGUGAGGAAGGUGUUAAGGUUAAUAACCUUAGCAAUUGACGUUAGCGACAGAAGAAGCACCGGCUAACUCCGUGCCAGCAGCCGCGGUAAUACGGAGGGUGCGAGCGUUAAUCGGAAUUACUGGGCGUAAAGGGCACGCAGGCGGUUAAUUAAGUUGGAUGUGAAAUCCCCGGGCUUAACCUGGGAAUGGCAUUCAAGACUGGUUAGCUAGAGUCUUGUAGAGGGGGUAGAAUUCCAUGUGUAGCGGUGAAAUGCGUAGAGAUGUGGAGGAAUACCGGUGGCGAAGGCGGCCCCUGGACAAAGACUGACGCUCAUGUGCGAAAGCGUGGGGAGCAAACAGGAUUAGAUAC